Molecule: ribosomal RNA, 517 nt
Filed under: uncultured Hanseniaspora
Lineage: Eukaryota; Fungi; Ascomycota; Saccharomycetes; Saccharomycodales; Saccharomycodaceae
Description: eukaryotic LSU rRNA
Rfam family: Eukaryotic large subunit ribosomal RNA
Source: RNAcentral
AAACCAACCGGGAUUGCCUCAGUAACGGCGAGUGAAGCGGCAAAAGCUCAAAUUUGAAAUCUGGCACUUUCAGUGUCCGAGUUGUAAUUUGUAGAAGUGGUUUUGGGACUGGUCCUUAUCUAUGUUUCUUGGAACAGGACGUCAUAGAGGGUGAGAACCCCGUAUGAUGAGGCCCCCAGUCCUUUGUAAAACGCUUUCGAAGAGUCGAGUUGUUUGGGAAUGCAGCUCUAAGUGGGUGGUAAAUUCCAUCUAAAGCUAAAUAUUGGCGAGAGACCGAUAGCGAACAAGUACAGUGAUGGAAAGAUGAAAAGAACUUUGAAAAGAGAGUGAAAAAGUACGUGAAAUUGUUGAAAGGGAAGGGCAUUUGAUCAGACAUGGUGUUUUGCGCCCUUUGCUCCUUGUGGGCGGAGGAUACGCAGCUCACUGGGCCAACAUCAGUUUUGGGAGCAGGAUAAAUCUGUAGGAACGUAGCUUUCUUCGGGAAUGUUAUAGCCUACGGGAAUACUGCUACCUGGGA